UACGUAGGGUGCAAGCGUUAAUCGGAAUUACUGGGCGUAAAGCGUGCGCAGGCGGUGAUGUAAGACAGUUGUGAAAUCCCCGGGCUCAACCUGGGAACUGCAUCUGUGACUGCAUCGCUGGAGUGCGGCAGAGGGGGAUGGAAUUCCGCGUGUAGCAGUGAAAUGCGUAGAUAUGAGGAGGAACACCGAUGGCGAAGGCAAUCCCCUGGGCCUGCACUGACGCUCAUGCACGAAAGCGUGGGGAGCAAACAGG
This 253-nucleotide ribosomal RNA is filed under the name uncultured bacterium. RNAcentral's name for it is "partial 16S ribosomal RNA". It matches the Rfam family "Bacterial small subunit ribosomal RNA", at positions 524 to 776 of the family's 1533-position model. The record is from RNAcentral.